UGCGUAGGCGGCCAGAUCAGUCAGGCGUGAAAGUUUUCGGCUUAACCGGAAAAUUGCGUUUGAUACUGUUUGGCUAGAAUCAGGAUGAGGUUGGCGGAAUGUGGCAUGUAGCGGUGAAAUGCAUAGAUAUGCCAUAGAACACCGAUUGCGAAGGCAGCUGGCUGGACCUGAAUUGACGCUGAGGCACGAAAGUGUGGGGAGCGAACAGGAUUAGAUACCCUGGUAGUC
RNAcentral lists this ribosomal RNA (228 nucleotides) under uncultured bacterium. Its description in RNAcentral is "partial 16S ribosomal RNA". It matches the Rfam family "Bacterial small subunit ribosomal RNA", at positions 568 to 795 of the family's 1533-position model. The record is from RNAcentral.